Molecule: long non-coding RNA, 285 nt
Filed under: Homo sapiens (human)
Lineage: Eukaryota; Metazoa; Chordata; Mammalia; Primates; Hominidae
Description: HSALNT0056476
Source: RNAcentral
UCUGGGUGUCCCCGGGGAGGCUGGCACUCCAGGAUUGCAGGCUCUCCAGCUGCCACUACAACAUCUGUGGGGUUUUGUCGGAAGUCAUCUCGUAACACUGAGGAAAAAUAAUUACAGGAAAAGAAAACUCAACGACAGUAACUUAGGCUUUUUGUUGUACAAGGUAAAUCCUCCAGGGAGAGCAAGCUGGUGACUCAUUUAUAUUCUAAAUACAGAACAGCUGCCUAUUUAUGCAAUGUUAAGAAGUGCAAAAAUAUGGUAACAGGGUGAUGAGCACCCCUACAA